Molecule: ribosomal RNA, 237 nt
Filed under: uncultured bacterium
Lineage: Bacteria
Description: partial 16S ribosomal RNA
Rfam family: Bacterial small subunit ribosomal RNA
Source: RNAcentral
UGAGCAAUCUGCCCUUCUCAUCGGAAUAAGCGUUGGAAACGACGUCUAAUGCCGAAUACGACCUCCUUUCGCAUGAUCGGAGGUGGAAAACUCCGGCGGAGAAGGAUGAGCUCGCGGCCUAUCAGCUAGUUGGUGUGGGUAAUGGCCCACCAAGGCGACGACGGGUAGCCGGCCUGAGAGGGUGACCGGCCACACUGGGACUGAGAUACGGCCCAGACCUCCGUACGGGAGGNAGCG